Molecule: long non-coding RNA, 1085 nt
Organism: Dendrobium catenatum
Lineage: Eukaryota; Viridiplantae; Streptophyta; Magnoliopsida; Asparagales; Orchidaceae
Exons: 2
Source: RefSeq, a predicted model, not a curated record
CAUCUAUUCAGAAAAAUUUAAUAUUUAAAUCAAUACUGUUGAUUUUAUUUAACAGUACUUAAGCUUUAAUUAAAUAAGGGUUUGAAUUUCUUUUACCAAAAUUUGAGUUGUUACAAAUGUUACCGCCUACGUUUUUAAACAUUGUACGCUUAUCUGUUAAGUCAAGAAGAUUUAACCGUUCAGGCUGAUAAGUUCCUUUUUUAAUUUUUCCUUAGAAAUGGAAACGGGUAUAGGAAUUGAUAUGUGAUUAGUUUUCACCCACGUGUUUGAUUGAGAAAUAAUGUGAAGAAAAAAAUUUCUUUGUUGUUUGGUUGAUGAGAAAUUGAAUUUUUUAUUUGUUAGGAGGAGACAUUAGUCACAAACGAUUGAUCCAAUAAAAUUUUCUUUUCAUUUUUCAUAAAGGUUUGAUAGGAAAUUAUCAAUGGAAAAAAAAUAUUUAUUAACAUUUUAAAGAUAAAUUCAACUACCUAUUAAUUACAUCGGAAUCAAACAUCUAAGAUGAAGUUGCAUAGUAAAAUACAUUUGCAUUUCCUCCAUUUCCUUCCAUCCAAACAAAUCCAUGCGGCCAUGGGAGUUGAAUUGCUGAAAUUUGCAACUACUGAAAUCUGACAUUCAGUUCGAUCAUUUAGAAUUUUAUUAUUCAAUCAAGGAGGAACUUUAGCAGUUACUGUUGGCAUAAAUGGCCUUCUUGCUUUUUCAGGUGCGGCCAUUAAGCUACGAAGACUUCAAGAAAGCAAUGGCUGUUAUCAGACCCAGUUUACAGAAGAGCAGGUGGGAAGAGCUUGAACAGUGGAACAUGGAAUUUGGCUCAAACUAAGUAGAUUAGUACAAGUAAAUAAUUACAAUUAUAGUUUAUGCAAAGAUCAGUGAAAAUAGCGGCAGCUCGCUGAAUCAUCUUUCUCUGCACGUUUAUCCAUGUAAGAAUCUUGAAUUAUUACAAUAGUUUAUUUGCAUCCAAGCAGAAUUUGAAGGUCCCAUGAAUGAAAUAUUUUCUUGUAGAUUCUUGUGGUUCAGGUAAACUGUAGGAUUGUUCUGCUGAAUUUUAGGACUGAAUUGAUUAAUGACAAGAAGGCUAUCGUUCUGUA